UCCUCUCUCUAACGUGACAACAGAUACAUCAGCUAGGAUGCAGUUCAUAAAAACAACAACAAUAAAAAGAGUCAACUUUUACAGAAAAAAAGCGCAUUAUAAGUACUAGGGAAAAGUUUUGUGAAUUCAGGCUAGCUUUUCAAACAUUCAGACCACCCCUAAAAUAGCAGCUACAGUUCACAGGGGCCAGAGCUACACAAAUUCCAGCUCUCCCUAUGUGGAUUUUACUACACGUCCUCCCAUUUAUGCACUCACAGACAUCCAGCAGAAGAAUUACUAUCACUCCAUCUACCCACAGGAAGUCAGAUAUUGGCGUGAAAAAGUGAAGAUGCAGCUGCUGCGGGAAACAAAGCCCUGAAUGUCAAGCUGUUGGUCAUGAAAAGAUUUUCUCCACAACACUGUGGAAAUUUCAGAACAUUGUCAACGAGAGGCAGUUUUAACCUGGGUAAUGGAGGUGUUCUUUUUCCAACUCAGAUCCCACCAUCCCAUUGCAAUCAACUGUUGAGGAAUAACAAAACUCAUGACAAUG
Long non-coding RNA from Neopelma chrysocephalum (saffron-crested tyrant-manakin), 529 nucleotides. RefSeq lists it as uncharacterized. The record is from RefSeq and is a predicted model, not a curated record. The transcript has 3 exons. Lineage: Eukaryota; Metazoa; Chordata; Aves; Passeriformes; Pipridae.